UUCGGGACGCCGGCGAGUGGCGAACGGGUGAGUAACACGUGGAGACCUGCCCUGGGGUGGGGGAUAACAGCUAGAAAUGGCUGCUAAUACCGCAUACGCCUUACGAGGGAAAGAUUUAUUGCCCCAGGAGGGUUCCGCGUCGGAUUAGCUUGUUGGUGGGGUAACGGCCUACCAAGGCGACGAUCCGUAGCUGGUCUUAGAGGAUGAUCAGCCACACUGGGACUGAGACACGGCCCAGACUCCUACGGGAGGCAGCAGUGGGGAAUAUUGCGUAAUGGGGGAAACCCUGACGCAGCGAUGCCGCGUGGGUGAAUAAGGCCUUAGGGUUGUAAAGCCCUUUCAGUGGGAACGAUGAUGACGGUACCCACAGAAGAAGCCCCGGCUAACUCCGUGCCAGCAGCCGCGGUAAUACGGAGGGGGCGAGCGUUGU
Molecule: ribosomal RNA, 430 nt
Filed under: uncultured bacterium
Lineage: Bacteria
Description: bacterial SSU rRNA
Rfam family: Bacterial small subunit ribosomal RNA
Source: RNAcentral